GCGGCAGGCUUCAUACAUGCAAGUCGAGGGGCAGCAUAAAUUACUUGUAAUUUGAUGGCGACCGGCGAACGGGUGCGUAACGCGUAUGCAACUUACCUUUUACUAGAGAAUAGCCAAGAGAAAUUUUGAUUAAUGCUCUAUACACUUAUUAAUUCUCAUGAAUCUAUAAGAAAAGCUCCGGCGGUAAAAGAUGGGCAUGCGUCCUAUUAGCUUGUAGGUGAGGUAACGGCUCACCUAAGCUCCGAUAGGUAGGGGUCCUGAGAGGGAGAUCCCCCACACUGGUACUGAGACACGGACCAGACUUCUACGGAAGGCAGCAGUAAGGAAUAUUGGACAAUGGAGGCAACUCUGAUCCAGCCAUGCCGCGUGAAGGAAGACGGCCUUAUGGGUUGUAAACUUCUUUUAUACAGGAAGAAACCUUUCCACGUGUGGAAAGCUGACGGUACUGUAAGAAUAAGGAUCGGCUAACUCCGUGCCAGCAGCCGCGGUAAUACGGAGGAUCCAAGCGUUAUCCGGAAUUAUUGGGUUUAAAGGGUCCGCAGGCUGUUUGUUAAGUCAGAGGUGAAAUCCUACCGCUCAACGGUAGAACUGCCUUUGAUACUGGCAAACUUGAGUUAUUGUGAAGUAGUUAGAAUGUGUAGUGUAGCGGUGAAAUGCAUAGAUAUUACACAGAAUACCGAUUGCGAAAGCAGAUUACUAACAAUAUACUGACGCUGAGGGACGAAAGCGUGGGUAGCGAACAGGAUUAGAUACCCUGGUAGUCCACGCCGUAAACGAUGGUCACUAGCUGUUUGAUGUACAUUGGUACAUUGAGUGGCUAAGCGAAAGUGAUAAGUGACCCACCUGGGGAGUACGCUC
This 858-nucleotide ribosomal RNA is filed under the name uncultured Flavobacteriaceae bacterium. RNAcentral describes it as "bacterial SSU rRNA". It matches the Rfam family "Bacterial small subunit ribosomal RNA", at positions 39 to 887 of the family's 1533-position model. The record is from RNAcentral. Lineage: Bacteria; Pseudomonadati; Bacteroidota; Flavobacteriia; Flavobacteriales; Flavobacteriaceae.